This 928-nucleotide ribosomal RNA is filed under the name Blastobotrys mokoenaii. RNAcentral describes it as "LSU rRNA". The stretch from base 199 to 928 matches the Rfam family "Eukaryotic large subunit ribosomal RNA", at positions 1 to 744 of the family's 3401-position model. Lineage: Eukaryota; Fungi; Ascomycota; Dipodascomycetes; Dipodascales; Trichomonascaceae. The record is from RNAcentral.
CAAAAGGCAUACCUGUUUGAGAGUCAUUUCAUUCUCAAAACCUAGUUUUGGUGUUGGUCCUCAUCUUUCGCAAGAAAGUGGACUGAAAUGAAAUGGCAAAGCCUCGAUUAUUUGUCAAAAGUGUCUUAGGUUUUACCAACUACACUUGCGUAACGAAUUUUCGAAUUCAAGCUUGGCCUUAAAACAGCCUUUUAAGUUUGACCUCAAAUCAGGCAAGACUACCCGCUGAACUUAAGCAUAUCAAUAAGCGGAGGAAAAGAAACCAACAGGGAUUGCCUUAGUAACGGCGAGCGAAGCGGCAAUAGCUCAAAUUUGAAAUCUGGCGUCUUUGGCGUCCGAGUUGUAAUUUCAAGAAGUGUCUUCUGGUUUGGCCCUUGCAUAUGUUCCUUGGAACAGGACGUCAUAGAGGGUGAGAAUCCCGUAUAUGGUGAGGUGUCCAUUUCCUUUGUAAGACGCUCUCUAAGAGUCGAGUUGUUUGGGAAUGCAGCUCUAAGUGGGUGGUAAAUUCCAUCUAAAGCUAAAUAUUGGCGAGAGACCGAUAGCGAACAAGUACUGUGAAGGAAAGAUGAAAAGAACUUUGAAAAGAGAGUGAAAAAGUACGUGAAAUUGCUGAAAGGGAAGGGCUUGAGAUCAGACUUGGUAUUCAGUGAUCAGCUGUCUUUCGGGACUGUGCACUCGCUGUUUACUGGGCCAACAUCAGUUUGGAUGGCGAGAUAAUGACAAUUGAAUGUGGCUCUCUCUUCGGAGGGAGUGUUAUAGCUUUUGUUGAUAUCGCCUAUCCGGACUGAGGACCGCGCUUCGGCUAGGAUGUUGGCGUAAUGAUCUUAAGCCACCCGUCUUGAAACACGGACCAAGGAGUCUAACGUCUAUGCGAGUGUUUGGGUGUAAAACCCGUACGCGUAAUGAAAGUGAACGUAGAGGAGGACCC